UACGGAGGAUCCAAGCGUUAUCCGGAUUUAUUGGGUUUAAAGGGAGCGUAGGCGGCCUAUUAAGUCAGAGGUGAAAGACGGUAGCUCAACUAUCGCAGUGCCUUUGAUACUGAUGGGCUUGAAUACAGAUGAGGUAGGCGGAAUGUGACAAGUAGCGGUGAAAUGCAUAGAUAUGUCACAGAACACCGAUUGCGAAGGCAGCUUACUAAACUGUGAUUGACGCUGAGGCUCGAAAGCGUGGGGAUCAAACAGG
RNAcentral lists this ribosomal RNA (253 nucleotides) under uncultured bacterium. RNAcentral describes it as "partial 16S ribosomal RNA". It matches the Rfam family "Bacterial small subunit ribosomal RNA", at positions 524 to 776 of the family's 1533-position model. The record is from RNAcentral.